AGUGAACGCUGGCGGUAGGCCUAACACAUGCAAGUCGAACGGCAGCACAGUAAGAGCUUGCUCUUACGGGUGGCGAGUGGCGGACGGGUGAGGAAUACAUCGGAAUCUACUUUUUCGUGGGGGAUAACGUAGGGAAACUUACGCUAAUACCGCGUACGACCUACGGGUGAAAGCAGGGGAUCUUCGGACCUUGCGCGAUUGAAUGAGCCGAUGUCGGAUUAGCUAGUUGGCGGGGUAAAGGCCCGCCAAGGCGACGAUCCGUAGCUGGUCUGAGAGGAUGAUCAGCCACACUGGAACUGAGACACGGUCCAGACUCCUACGGGAGGCAGCAGUGGGGAAUAUUGGACAAUGGGCGCAAGCCUGAUCCAGCCAUACCGCGUGGGUGAAGAAGGCCUUCGGGUUGUAAAGCCCUUUUGUUGGGAAAGAAAAGCAGCAGGUUAAUACCCCGCUGUUCCGACGGUACCCAAAGAAUAAGCACCGGCUAACUUCGUG
This 492-nucleotide ribosomal RNA is filed under the name uncultured bacterium. Its description in RNAcentral is "partial 16S ribosomal RNA". It matches the Rfam family "Bacterial small subunit ribosomal RNA", at positions 29 to 507 of the family's 1533-position model. The record is from RNAcentral.